Molecule: ribosomal RNA, 429 nt
Filed under: uncultured Aquicella sp.
Lineage: Bacteria; Pseudomonadati; Pseudomonadota; Gammaproteobacteria; Legionellales; Coxiellaceae
Description: bacterial SSU rRNA
Rfam family: Bacterial small subunit ribosomal RNA
Source: RNAcentral
UGGGGAAUCUUGGACAAUGGGGGCAACCCUGAUCCAGCGAUGCCGCGUGGGUGAAGAAGGCCUUCGGGUUGUAAAGCCCUUUAGGCUGGGAAGAAGAUUGCGGGGUGAAUAAUCCUGUAAUUUGACGGUACCAGCAGAAUAAGCACCGGCAAACUCUGUGCCAGCAGCCGCGGUAAUACAGAGGGUGCAAGCGUUAAUCGGAUUUACUGGGCGUAAAGGGCGCGUAGGCGGUUAUGUGAGUGUGAUGUGAAAGCCCCGGGCUCAACCUGGGAAGUGCAUCGCAAACGACAUAACUGGAGUAGGUGAGAGGGUGGCGGAAUUUCCGGUGUAGCGGUGAAAUGCGUAGAGAUCGGAAGGAACGUCAAUGGCGAAGGCAGCCACCUGGUACCAUACUGACGCUGAGGCGCGAAAGCGUGGGGAGCAAACAGG